RNAcentral lists this small RNA (125 nucleotides) under Marmota monax (woodchuck). Lineage: Eukaryota; Metazoa; Chordata; Mammalia; Rodentia; Sciuridae. The record is from RNAcentral.
GCCAGGUGCAGUGGCGCACGCCUGUAAUCCCAGCGACUUUGGAGGCUGAGGCAGGAGGACUGCAAAUUCAAAGCCAGCCUCAGCAAUGGUGAGGCACUAAGCAACUCAGUGAGAUCCUGUCUCUA